This 518-nucleotide ribosomal RNA is filed under the name uncultured bacterium. RNAcentral describes it as "bacterial SSU rRNA". It matches the Rfam family "Bacterial small subunit ribosomal RNA", at positions 59 to 621 of the family's 1533-position model. The record is from RNAcentral.
AAGUCGAACGCGUGUAGCAAUACACGAGUGGCGCACGGGUGAGUAACACGUGGAUAUCUGCCUUUUGGUUCGGGAUAACCCUGGGAAACUAGGGCUAAUACCGAAUGGUUCCUACGGGAUAAAGAUUUAUCGCCAAAAGAUGAGUCCGCGUCCGAUUAGCUAGUUGGUGAGGUAAUGGCUCACCAAGGCGACGAUCGGUAGCUGGUCUGAGAGGACGAUCAGCCACACUGGGACUGAGACACGGCCCAGACUCCUACGGGAGGCAGCAGUGGGGAAUAUUGGACAAUGGGGGCAACCCUGAUCCAGCCAUGCCGCGUGAGUGAUGAAGGCCUUCGGGUUGUAAAGCUCUUUUGGCGGGGACGAUGAUGACGGUACCCGCAGAAUAAGCCCCGGCUAACUUCGUGCCAGCAGCCGCGGUAAGACGAAGGGGGCUAUCGUUGUUCGGAAUUACUGGGCGUAAAGCGCGUGUANGCGGUUGUUCAAGUCAGGUGUGAAAGCCUUGAGCUCAACUCAAGAAA